RNAcentral lists this long non-coding RNA (247 nucleotides) under Aquilegia coerulea. Its description in RNAcentral is "long non-coding RNA (ACOE_LNC000137)". The record is from RNAcentral. Lineage: Eukaryota; Viridiplantae; Streptophyta; Magnoliopsida; Ranunculales; Ranunculaceae.
UCAGUGUGGCUUAUCUAUUACAAUGGCCUGGUGGUUGUUAGCCUACAUACAAAUGGUAUGUGUGUUAUGCUGGGCUUAUUUUGUUUCUGUUGUAGUGCUCUGUCUAUGGUUAAUGGUUAUACUACUUGAAGGACCUCAUCGUCGUAUGUUGUAUGCUGACUACUCUGCCACUUGAUUAAACUUGAGCACAACUUUGUCUGUGAACACAUUCAAAACUGUUCGAAGUUGAACCAUAAAAAAUAGGGAU